UGACGGAGGCAUUGCUGGCCACAUAGUCCAGGGCCAGCCAGAGGUCACAAGCCAGCGUGCCCAGAGCCCAGUGGCCCAUGAGCAGUAGGUCCUGCUAUCCCCAGUUUGCAAAAGGCCUAACCUGAGGCUUCAAGACCUGAAGGACCUUACAGCUCAUCAGCGAUGCAACCAGGAUUUGGAUCCAGGCCGUCUGCCUCCGAGACCAACCUCUUGAACCCUACUCCUGCCCUUGAGGGGUUGCGGGGGUUUGCCAGCCUCCUUGCCCACCUCAGCUAGCUUACUCAAGCCCAACUUUGAAUCAGUUAACGAUGAGCAAUCGGUCCUUCUUUCAGAAUCUGGCCUCCUUUGUGUGCGCGGCAGUGUCUGUCGUAUAUCUGUGUGAUGUGUGAUAACAGUGCUGUGGGAAGAGGGUGGGUCUACUGGAGCUCUUUAAAGGGCAGGGUAAGGGCUGCGUCUGUCUCAUUCAAUGCUUUAUCCCAGGGCUUGGCAGAUAGUAGUUGCUCAAUAAAUACCUGUGGAAUAAAUGUACGUGUGUGUACUCAACUUCAGACCCUGGAGCCUGAGGGUGAACCUGUGGGGGUCAGGACCAGGUCCAGAGCAUGGUCCAGAGGCCCCUCUUCUCCCUUGAGCUCCCACAUCUCAUCUGCCAGGUCCCUGCUUCCCUGAGUGAGGCCCUGCCUGGCUGGAGAGCAUAGGAGAAAAACAGCCAAGAGCAUCCUUGUCUGUAAAGUGGACCAAGGAAACCCUGCCUCACCCGGCUGCAGGGAAGCUAAGUGAGGUGCCAGGACAGACAUGGACGUGCCAAAGCAUUUGUCACUGGGGAGAGGAGAAUGUUAGCCUGGGCUCAAAGGGUUAAGGGAUGAGGUCAGAGCCUUUAUUACAGCAGGCCAGACUGUUGACUCCCAGCGCCCAGGACCAAUCCCUAGGGGCUGGGGAUCUGGCUUGUGAGAGCAACUGGGAGUGGAGAGAACCACUGGGGGAGGCAGGGAAAGGGAAAUGGGGAGAGGGAUUCCUGAACACCAGGCUUUUCUGAACGUACCGCUGGCCAAAGAGUACAGAAGGGGAGGGAGGGAAUGAGGGGAUGCUGGGGAAGAUAUUUAGGAGGGAGGAGCGGAGCCAUCUUGUGAUUCUGGGCCUGGAAGCUGGUAGAGUCCUGGUUAGGAAGAGGGGAUAACAUUGGGGAGUGGGAGGUAUGUGGAGGGGGCUGUGGGGUUGGGCACCUGAGGCCUCACAUAUGCAAUGAGGAGGGCGCUCCUUCUGGCCAGGUCUACUCACUGAUCCCUUCUGCUAGGGCCUGACCCCAGAAGCCAGCCCAUACGAGGCAGCUCUCCCCUCGGGGUUAACUUUUCUUUGACAGCAGCUCUUGACCCAUUAAGGUGCACAAAACUUCCACCCCUGAUGUCUGGCUUUGAGAAUGAGGGAGUAAACAGAAUUUAUCACAUUUUUAAGGCUCAACAGUUGCCAUUGGGAGGGCCAACUAGUCUUGUGGAGGGCAGCAGCCAUCAGUUAAAUGCUACAUGAAACACACUGCUUAGCUGGAAGAGAAGCAUCAGCCCUAGAAUCACUGCCAAAUUUGCUCACCCAUGAUGGAUCUUAAGCAGUUGCCUGACUUUGGCCAGACCAUGACAGAGCCUGGGCAUGAGCAGCUGGACCCUAGACCUCACUCUGCCAGUGUGGCAUCAGAGGUUCUGGGUCCCUCAUCCUCCUCUCCGCAAGCCCCCUGCUCCUGGCUCCUUGCACUCUCCUCCUCAUUUCCUUUCUUCUCUCUCCCUCCCUCCUCCAUCCUUGUAGGCAUCACCAUGGCACCACAGCAGAGCAGAAACCCAGCGCAAUUCACCCACCUCUCCCCGCCUGCUGGGAGCCCAAGCUUCUGCGUCUCAGAGCUUACUGCGCCCCCUGCUCUCCCACCCCAUCUUCCUGCUCAUGGAGGCGGCAGCGCAGUGUUGUGCUGAGGAUGCGGAGAAGGGGUCCGAGCCCCAGCUGGAUCCCUACAUAUCCCUUCUCCGACCAUGAGCAUGUCCCUUUCCCUUUCUCAGCCUCAGUCCCUCCAUACAAUAGAAAGCCUCCUUUCUAGGUCUGACAUGACCUCUGGUUAGCCCCUUCUUGACACUUUGGACUCCCCAUUACACUUCAGAAUCCAGUUCUCAGAACUCCAACCGCCAGCUGUCAGCUGCGAGCCAAGACCCACAUCUUCUGCAGCCCAUUUCACUAUCUCCUUCCCUUUCAUAUCUCAGCCGCGAUAGCGACUGCAGCUUGCCUGGUGGCUGAGGUCAGAGGGCAGAGAACUCUCAUCUGACAGCCCACUGAACAGCUGAUUACCCUGAGAAAGGAGACUGUCUGGCUACUGGAGACUGCCUGACUCCUUCCAGCCAGUUGGGCAGGGGUCUUGGGUCAGUCUGGGUGGAGCUGCAGGUGUGUUUUGUGCAAAGAUGUGAACCCCUCUCCAUUGGCUCUGAUAACCUCUAAGCUGCACAUGUCUGGAUGACCUAAUGAGAGCUGACGACCCCCUCCCCAGCUGGCCUGCCCAGGAGCUGACAACUCUACAAGCAUCAGAGUUCCUGGCCCCUAGCCCAUCCCCAUGUUGUGCAGUCUGCGGGCACUGGGGAACCUCUCCGAGCAAAUAAAUGGCAAACAUGUGUUGAGAGUCUCUGAGAGGCAAAGAGAACGAUCAGCAUUUCCCAAACUUAUUUCUCCACAGGAUCUUUUUUUACAUGGAGCGUCUCGUAGGACUGGCUUCUGAGGAACACAGCUGCAGCUGCAACCGACUUGGUUUUUGGGCCUGAGCCAGGGGCCUGGGCCAGAGGAGAGCAAUUGAGCACCCUGGCUGAGUGAGGGGUGAAUCUCAGGAGUUGAGGACAACUAUUUAGAGUAACACUGCCUCCAACCCCCAAGCCUGGUUCAAGGAAAGACUGAAGUGGGAGGAGGAGGAGCAAAGACACAUAACGUUUUUCUCUAUCACCAAAAGAAAACCUUUAAGGGAGCAGAGAAAAUGGCAAGAAAGAGAUAGAGUCUCACUAUGUUGCUCAGGCUGGU
RNAcentral lists this long non-coding RNA (3033 nucleotides) under Homo sapiens (human). RNAcentral describes it as "HSALNT0363138". The record is from RNAcentral. Lineage: Eukaryota; Metazoa; Chordata; Mammalia; Primates; Hominidae.